Molecule: ribosomal RNA, 142 nt
Filed under: uncultured Sphingobacteriales bacterium
Lineage: Bacteria; Pseudomonadati; Bacteroidota; Sphingobacteriia; Sphingobacteriales
Description: partial 16S ribosomal RNA
Source: RNAcentral
GUACCUUCAACAGCGGAUGAAUCCACUGAUUUAUUCCCUAGCUAAAGGAGUUUACAACCCAUAGGGCAUUAUUCCUCCACGCGGGAUGGCUGGAUCAGAGUUGCCUCCAUUGUCCAAUAUUCCUUACUGCUGCCUCCCGUAG